Molecule: long non-coding RNA, 485 nt
Organism: Heterocephalus glaber (naked mole-rat)
Lineage: Eukaryota; Metazoa; Chordata; Mammalia; Rodentia; Bathyergidae
Source: Ensembl
GGGACAGUGGCUGGAUUGUGGUAGAGCAGUAAUGGAAGUGGUUGAGGUAUGGGUCCUGGGUUGGUUAGUUUGUAUUUGUUGUUGUUGUUUGUUUUCUGAGACAAGGUCUUGCUAUGUAGCCCAGGCUGGCCUCGAACUCGAGGUGCUGGGGAUGGACCCAGGGCCUUGUGCAUGUUAAGUGUGUGCUCUACAUGGAGCUGCUGUCCCAGCCAGAAUUACUGUUUUCAGCCAUUAGUCUUGGAUGGUUUGUGACCUGGAAGUAGCCAAUCAGGAUACAGGAUGAAACUAAGUGAAGCGAAGCUCGGAGCAGCUCAGGAAUGCAGCGCCACAAAAGAAGAAAAAAGUAUCUAGAAGUCAUGUUACCUGAUUGAAAUCUCAGGAUUUUCCCCCAGUACUGGGAUGGAAUCCAGGGCCUUGCACAUCCUACAUGCGGAGCAGGUGCUCUACCACCAAGGUACACCUGAGCCCUACGUGCAUGCCUUAGG